Molecule: long non-coding RNA, 363 nt
Filed under: Mytilus galloprovincialis (Mediterranean mussel)
Lineage: Eukaryota; Metazoa; Mollusca; Bivalvia; Mytilida; Mytilidae
Source: RNAcentral
CCUGUGGUGCACGAAAUUUAAUAAAAAAAUCAAUAACGGAAAGUGUAUACUACGCAGUAGAUUUAAAUUCAGUGAUUGAAGUCGUCCAAGAACAUAGUAAAUAUGUGACGCUCCAUUUUACACACACACACACAUAGAACUUUAUGUUAUUUUGAUAGCAUAUAUUAUUGCCCUUCUUUUAUGUUUUCUGCCAGUCCCAAUCAACAAUAAUCCAUCCGAACUAACGUGUAGACAAGAAGAAUUUGAAAUACUCAAAUCCUUCAAUAAUAUACGAUCAAAACUCUGAACAGAAGGACCUAGUACAUGUAUGAAAUCCUCAAACUUGUCUAAUAAAAGAAUUUGGUUUGAAGAAGUAAGUGUCAG